GGUUUUCAGCAAUUGUUUAACAUCCUUCUUUUUCAGUAAAAAACUUAAUUUUGGAAUGUGAUUGUCAGGUUUCUCAGAGCUAGAAUUAUCUAUACAAAGAAGUAGCUGUGGGCUUUGAUUACCUACCUAACCUUAACCAAUCCCAGUUGGCUGAGUGGGUAGGCAAUAGAGUUGUCACUCUGUGAUUUUGCUGCGUAUGAUGCCAGUGCGUCAAAAGGAUUUAUUUAUAGAAGAUCAUAAAAUUCUCAGCUUAAAGUGGGACAUUUUGCUUCUCUAUUCUUCUCGCUAAUUAGGAAUUGUCACUGACUUUUGCAGUUACCUACUUAAAUAGCAUUGAUUCUUAUACAGUACAUUUCCUAUAGCAUGUUUAUAUGUAUUCAAUAUAAAAAACUACACAUGAAAACGCAGAGAUUAAAGUAAAUUUCGAUUGUAUAGCAGGAUGUAAAAUUAUGUGGAUAUGUUCUUUUUAUAAGAAAAUAAUCAUCAGAAGUAGAUAUCAAGUAUACUCUAUGGCGGAAUUUCUAUUCUUUUUGUUUCUUUUAUUUGUAAUAUUGGGUGACUUGUAGUAUUUUAAAUCCACACUAGAGAACUUUGUAGGGUAUAAUAUUCUCCAAAAAGAGAAGGAGUUACAUGAGAAUUUGACUGUAGCUGUCUUUGAAGGAGUAGGAUUAUAGAUGAUUUCUGUUUCCUUCUGUUUCUUUAUCUUUGUUUUCUUUUUCUGGAAUGAAAAUGUAUUGCUUUUGUAAUAAAAACCAACCAAAAAAUUAUUUUGGGGGAAAAACAAUGCUUCGUUGUAAAAAAAAAAAAAAACACAAGCUUUUUUAGAAAGCAAUUUGUAUGGUUUUUAGAGGCUAGGAAGUGGGGUGGGGUGGGUACAGAGAGAUUGGUUAAUGAAUACAAAAUUACAGCUGGAUAGGAGGAAUAAGUUUUGGGGUUGUAUAGCACUGUAGAGUGAAUAUAGCAAACAAUAAUUUAUUGUAUGUGUUCAAAAAUCUAGAAGAGAGGAUUUUGAAAGAAAUCGUGAAUGUUUGAGGUGAUGGAUAUCCUAGUUACCCUGAUCUGUUCAUUACACAUUAUACACAGGUAUUGAAAUAUCACUCCGUACUCCAUAAAUGUGUGCCAUUAUUAUGUGUCAACUAAAAAUAAAAGGAAAAUAAUGAAACCAAACCAAACCAAAACAACAACAAAAAAGCAAUUUGGAAUAGAAGCAAGACAUACAUUGUAGCUCUUGGCCCAGGGGAGUUAUUAUCAUAGCAAGGCAAUGCCUGAUCACAGUGCACAUGAGUGGGAUUUCUGUAAAGGAAAAAGAGAAAAACAACAGCAUAGAGGCUAGGGAAAAUGCUCUUUCUAGUAGCAGAAACAGCUAUUUACAUGAAGUUGUAUCUCAGCCUAGUGUAGCCUUGAGGAACUCUUAGGUUUCAUAGAGGAGCAGUUUGGGACCAAAUUGUUGCCUCAAGUACAAGACAAAGGAGUUUUGUGCUUGACUUAGGAGAUGAUGAAAACUCGUUUGAAAGUAUUUGAGUAGGUGAGUGAUCAGAUUACUACUAUGCUUUAGAAACGUUGACUGGCAACCUGGAUUAGUGGCUUGGAGUAUGGAAUAACAGUAGAAAGAGGUUAGUAGUUGAAACUCUUUAAAAUAGCCCAGAAGAGAUCUUAAAUUAGGCUCCAAUUUUCUGAGUGGAGUGGGUAAGAUGAAAAAAAGAUAAGAAAAUGAGGCCAGGCGCGGUGGCUCAUGCAUGUAAUCCCAGCACUUUGGGAGGCCGAAAUGGGAGGAUCACUUGAGGCCUGGAGUUCAAGAUCAGGCUGGCCAACCUGGUGAAACCCCGUCUCUACUAAAAAUACAAAACAAAACAAAACAAAACAAAAGCCAGGUGUGGUGACUGGCACCUGUAAUCCCAGCUACUGGGGAGGCAGAGACAGGAGAAUCGCUUGAACCCAGGAGGCGAAGGUUGCAGUGAGCCAAGAUUGUGCCACUGCACUCCAGUCUGGGAAACAGAGCAAGACUCCAUCUAAAAAAAAAGAAAGAAAGCCAUCUUCACUUUACUUAAGACACUCCAUGUAUUUAAUUCACAACUAAGUGAAGGCUGAAAAUUGAAAAUGAACUAAAAACUCCAGUCAAGUUUGAUACACAGUGGACCUGGGUUCCCAGACUCUUUCUCUACUCCCUUAGUGGAUUGCCCUUAAGAUAAGAUUCAAGGGCUUUAAAAAAAAAAAAAAAUCUGUGAAAAAGGCAUUGAUGGUAAGGUACUUGUUUCUUUCAAUUUCUGCUUUAUGGAAUCCACAUAUUUAAGCUCACCUUGAUGAAUGCUAUAUUGAACAUGUUAAUAGAAAUGAUGACUAGAGGGAGAGAAGGGGAGGGAAACUGAAGAGCCUUCCCACCAGUCUAUUAUCACCUAGGGGCAGAAUAUGCUAACUGAAGACUCAUUUCUUCUGAGUAAUACAUAUUUUUAAUUUUCAAAAAAAAAAAAUAUUUUUUUUGAGACAGAGUUUCACUCUUGUUGCCCAGGCUGGAGUUCAGUGGUGCAAUCUCGGCUCACUGCAACCUCCACCUCCUCUAAUGGCCUCCUAAUACAUUGGAGUAAAAUCCCAUCCCUUAGCCUGCCAUGGACAGUGCCUGGGCUGGCCCAGCCUCCCUCUCCUUCUACUCCUGCCCGUACUUACCAUGCUUGGGCACUCUGACGUUUGCUCCAAUAACUCCCUCCAGCUGGAAUGAUCUUCCCUGUUUAUGCUGUAGCUGGGUCGUUUUUGUCACUCAGUGUCUCAGUUUUGAGCUGCCCCCCUUAGAGAGACCUUCCUGAACCCCAUCCUGACAGUAGGCUGUGGUCACUCUUGGCUCUGACCAACCAGCUAUAGUUCUGCAAUAGCACUUAUUGUUCUCUGAAAUCAUAAUUUUAUACUUGUCCACUGCUUUUAUUCCCACCCGUUCCCCUAAAAUAUUUGACAAGACUUUGCUUAUUCUUUCCAUUGAUGUGUAUCACUACAACGAUGUCUGGCACGUAGGUACUCAAUAACCAUUUUUCAAAAGAUUCUGGAAGAUAAUAAAAAUAUGUUCCCUUUGGCUGAAGUGAUUGGAUUUUGUCAACCUUGGGGCCUGAUUGGCAUAAUACCUCUAUAGAUAUUAGUAGAAAUGUCUCAACCUUCUUCCCUGGGGAGUUUGAGCUUGUGAAGUCUGAUUCUCUAGGUUGACAUUUCUGCAGAUUGGGUAGAGGUAAGUAGGUUUAACUUGAUAAAGUGAAGUGGCAGUGUUAUCCAAGAAGUUAAAAUAGAGAAUGAAGGGUGUCAGUACAUAACUUACAUUUUUAAAUUACACAAAGGUAUAUGUAAAAUGUGCAUCCAUGAAUAAAAUUUAUAUAGAUGUAGCUAUGUCCAGGUACACACAAGUCCAGAUAACUAUAGCAGUGGGUGGAAACAAAAGCUUGAGUAAUACAAGCAAAACCUAAUACCAAAAAUAGUUUACCCUAUUUUAGAGAUGUAGUAGUCAGAGUCAUAAGGUAAUGAGAUAAAAACAAAACUCAGAGUGUAUACAUCCAAAUAAAUAUUUCUCUCAAUAUUGUCUUCAGAACACCAUACAAUAUAUUCUGCUUAAAUAGGCAUAUGGAUUGAUUCAAGUGACUUGUUUUUGAUAGGUUGCUAGAACAACGUAGAACAUUCUAGAACCUCCUAGAACAGAAUGAUUACUAUCAGUGGUGGAAGCAUCUGUACCUCUUCAAAUACCCCCUUCGUAAAAAUGUAUGCUUGAAAGGCAAAAUGAUUUAUUUGUGCCCACAACCAAUUAGCAGUGAAGAGAAUUCAGAAAAAGGGAGCAAUGAGCUUAGGAUGAAAGGUAGAGAAGAGGUGAGAGUUGACCUGGAUGGGAUGCGAAGAGCUAGCAGAGCAAAGGCAGGCAUCCCAAAUGGAGAGAACCUGAGGAGAGUGCAGACCUCUUGUGGAACGUAGAACUGAGUAUGGACAAGCCUGGAGUAAGAGUUUCAAUUUCAGGACAAAUGAUGGAACAAGAUUUUCUUUUUCCAUUGGACAAGCAAUUUACCUGAAUUCUUUUGGUGGCACCGUUUGGUAAACCUAAAGAAAUCAAAGUCAAAAACUUGGAUUCUUUUGAGUAUUUGUUAUCAGGAUUAUUCCCUUGUUGUAUCCUUUUAUUGAUGUCAAUAGCACAAAGGAUACUAGGCUAAAUAGAAGAAUGGAACACCUCCAGCAAUAUUUAGAGAACUGGAAAGUGAAGAGGCAUCUUCAAGUGUUAAUCAGACUGUCAUUGAAACUGUCCCUGUAAACUUUAUUAAAUUAAUCAGAGAAGAAGAGAGAAAGAAAAAAUAAACAUAAUCCAAGCCUGCAGCACAUUCA
Symphalangus syndactylus (siamang) is the source of this 4338-nucleotide long non-coding RNA. RefSeq lists it as uncharacterized. Lineage: Eukaryota; Metazoa; Chordata; Mammalia; Primates; Hylobatidae. The record is from RefSeq and is a predicted model, not a curated record.